This 440-nucleotide ribosomal RNA is filed under the name uncultured bacterium. RNAcentral describes it as "partial 16S ribosomal RNA". It matches the Rfam family "Bacterial small subunit ribosomal RNA", at positions 338 to 795 of the family's 1533-position model. The record is from RNAcentral.
CCUACGGGAGGCAGCAGUAGGGAAUAUUGCUCAAUGGGGGAAACCCUGAAGCAGCAACGCCGCGUGGAGGAUGAAGGUUUUCGGAUUGUAAACUCCUUUUGUUAGAGAAGAUAAUGACGGUAUCUAACGAAUAAGCACCGGCUAACUCCGUGCCAGCAGCCGCGGUAAUACGGAGGGUGCAAGCGUUACUCGGAAUCACUGGGCGUAAAGAGCGCGUAGGCGGGAUAGCAAGGCAGAUGUGAAAUCCUAUGGCUUAACCAUAAAACUGCAUUUGAAACUGUUAUUCUAGAGUAUGGGAGAGGUAGGUGGAAUUCUUGGUGUAGGGGUAAAAUGCGUAGAGAUCAAGAGGAAUACUCAUUGCGAAGGCGACCUGCUAGAACAUAACUGACGCUGAUGCGCGAAAGCGUGGGGAGCAAACAGGAUUAGAUACCCCUGUAGUC